Long non-coding RNA from Cygnus olor (mute swan), 614 nucleotides. RefSeq lists it as uncharacterized. Lineage: Eukaryota; Metazoa; Chordata; Aves; Anseriformes; Anatidae. The transcript is spliced from 4 exons. The record is from RefSeq and is a predicted model, not a curated record.
CUGGGGCCUAGAUUCCUGUGAAGCCUGUGGGGAAACAGUGGUGGAGAUGGUUGGGCCCUGCAACCCACUGAGAGGACCUGCCUGGGGAGGGAAGAGUGUGAUGUGAAGUACCAGCGGAGAGAAAUGGAUAGGAACUGACCACGACCCCCAUUCCCUGUGCCCUGCCAUACUCUGGAGGGAGAAGGUGGAGGAGUUGGGAAUGGAGGAGUGGAAUAAGCCUGGGGAAAAAAAAAAAAAGGAUGGGGAGAUGUUUUUGCCAUUUUCCUGUCAGGGAAUCCAGCUCAACUCUGUUGGAGUACUGCUGGCCUUCAAUAUCUCCUCAUCUCAAACAACGCUGGAAAUGAGUUGUGCUUCACUACAGAGGCUAACAGUGUUAUGCCAGUAAUCACUUCAAGAAUACUAUUUACCAUCUACAAAGAGAAAGCUGAGUCUGAAGAUACCUAACCAGGCUGACGGCAGAAGAAGCAGAUGGCCUAGAUGGGAGCUGAAGGAACCUUCAUCGCUGCAGCUUCAGAAGAUCAAAACGGUGCAUGGGAGAAGAGGCCAGAAGACUAAAAUAUUUCAGUAAAACUGGGGAAACUUCUGCUCAUUGAAUAAUUUCCUUAAAUAAUCUG